AACCUACUAAAUGGCAUCCGACCUCACAAGUAAAAUCUACCAUGGGCGAUAACAGAGCAUCUACUGAAUUUAGAUUACAAGAACAGUUGAGUAGAAGAAAUUACUCAAAUCCUAACUAGGAAGGUUCACAGUUUGAGCCUCGUACACCUCUUGCACGCUUCUUGGAGCGACUACUAACUGAGGGGCGCAAAACAGAACACAUGUGAGUGGACAAAAAAAAGAUUUGCAGUUAAAAACAAUAUAGUAACCCCACCGUGCAAAAAUAAUGCUCAAGACAUGCAGGUUUACAAUUCAUUAUUUAAUUACUCAAAACAUAAUUCAUUUAAAAAUUCUUCAAAACACAAGUCAUCUCCUUCAUAAACCCCAUUCUCUCAAUCUUGCAACUCCUGCCAAACCACUGAAAAACUCUAAUUUCUUCACACUCCCAACUAUAGAUAUACAUAUAAAUAUAUAUAUAACUGUAACUAUACAUAGCUAUACGAUAUACUCAUCACACUACCUAGGUACCGGGGAAACAAUCCAACUGGGGGAUCGUUUGACUAGUCCGCAGGAUUUCUAGGUGCUAUCCUGCGUCUAGGGAUGAGCGGUCCAAUCGAGGGACGAAACUCCAAAGCUCACACACCGGAACAUCUAACGCCAUGUGUAGCUCCCAAACUAUGUCCUACGCGCGCAGACUGGAUCAUCACACACCGGAACAUCCAACCCCAUGGGUGAUGAACACUAUACAGAGUCUUUCUAUACGCCGGAACAUCCAACGCCGCAUAUGGAAAGUGUCUCACACACCGGAACAUCCAACGCCGCGAGUGAGACAGAUAACCUAUUCUUCCCACACGCCGGAACAUCCAACGCCGCGUGUGGAAAGUCUAAUAACGGGGGAAGAUACUUACAUAGUGUAAUCAUACAACUUCUCUCAACAACCCCUCAUAAUCAAGUUCUUCCACAACACACUUCAACAACCCAAGUAUCUCGCCUAUAGAGAAUAUAUAUAUAUAUAUAUAUAUAUAUAUACUUCCCCAAAAUGCCCAACUCACAAUAUAUUACUAAAGCGUUA
This 1051-nucleotide long non-coding RNA is filed under the name Prunus persica (peach). RNAcentral describes it as "long non-coding RNA (PPER_LNC006061)". Lineage: Eukaryota; Viridiplantae; Streptophyta; Magnoliopsida; Rosales; Rosaceae. The record is from RNAcentral.